This is a long non-coding RNA of Gossypium raimondii (Peruvian cotton), 503 nucleotides long. RefSeq lists it as uncharacterized. NCBI's taxonomy places the organism in Eukaryota, Viridiplantae, Streptophyta, Magnoliopsida, Malvales, Malvaceae. The record is from RefSeq and is a predicted model, not a curated record. The transcript has 2 exons.
GCUUUCUCAGCUUAAGUUGCUUGUUGAAAGGGAAAGAAGGAGCGAAACGAGAUAGAGACUGAAAGGAAAGAAUAGCAGCAGCCAUGUUUUGCUUGCAAAAAUUCCAGAUUCCAAAUGCAAUUGGAUCCACAAGCUAUAUCCUAUACGCUGAAGCGUGGAGGGGUUUUCUUCAACUGUGGAGAGUUGUAAGUCUUGCAUGUUUAAUCUUUUGAUAUGAUUUCUUAGACAGAUAAAGUCUCAUGGACAUUGAUAGUUGUUGGACAUGGCAUGCCUGUGUUUGCAAAUGAAGGCAUUGCUGCUACCUUCAACGAGAUAAGGGAUGCGGCAUGGAGUCUAAUGAAGGAUCCUUCAUUUCAUUUCUAUAUUGCAUGCUAGGAGUCAUUCUGGAUUACUUUAGGAAGAUUGGGGAUUCUUCUACAUAGUGAGAAAUGAUUGCAACAUUCAUGUGUGGUAAACUUUCAAACGCAUACGAAUUAAUUGAAAAGAAUAUCUAUUAGAAUUCA